GAUGAACGCUGGCGGCGUGCCUAAUACAUGCAAGUCGAGCGAACGGACGAGGAGCUUGCUCCUCUGACGUUAGCGGCGGACGGGUGAGUAACACGUGGAUAACCUACCUAUAAGACUGGGAUAACUUCGGGAAGCCGGAGCUAAUACCGGAUAAUAUAUUGAACCGCAUGGUUCAAUAGUGAAAGACGGUUUUGCUGUCACUUAUAGAUGGAUCCGCGCCGCAUUAGCUAGUUGGUAAGGUAACGGCUUACCAAGGCAACGAUGCGUAGCCGACCUGAGAGGGUGAUCGGCCACACUGGAACUGAGACACGGUCCAGACUCCUACGGGAGGCAGCAGUAGGGAAUCUUCCGCAAUGGGCGAAAGCUUGACGGAGCAACGCCGCGUGAGUGAUGAAGGUCUUCGGAUCGUAAAACUCUGUUAUUAGGGAAGAACAAAUGUGUAAGUAACUAUGCACGUCUUGACGGUACCUAAUCAGAAAGCCACGGCUAACUACGUG
Molecule: ribosomal RNA, 497 nt
Filed under: uncultured bacterium
Lineage: Bacteria
Description: partial 16S ribosomal RNA
Rfam family: Bacterial small subunit ribosomal RNA
Source: RNAcentral